Molecule: unclassified non-coding RNA, 253 nt
Filed under: uncultured Gammaproteobacteria bacterium
Lineage: Bacteria; Pseudomonadati; Pseudomonadota; Gammaproteobacteria
Description: contains 16S-23S intergenic spacer region
Rfam family: Bacterial small subunit ribosomal RNA
Source: RNAcentral
UACGGAGGGUGCAAGCGUUAAUCGGAAUUACUGGGCGUAAAGCGCGCGUAGGCGGCGGGCUCAGUCAGAUGUGAAAGCCCCGGGCUUAACCUGGGAAUGGCAUUUGAUACUGGUCGGCUAGAGUCUGGGAGAGGGAAGGGGAAUUCCGGGUGUAGCGGUGAAAUGCGUAGAUAUCCGGAGGAACACCAGUGGCGAAGGCGCCUUCCUGGCCUAAGACUGACGCUGAGGUGCGAAAGCGUGGGGAGCAAACAGG